RNAcentral lists this ribosomal RNA (1572 nucleotides) under Triticum aestivum (bread wheat). Its description in RNAcentral is "partial small subunit ribosomal RNA". The record is from RNAcentral. Lineage: Eukaryota; Viridiplantae; Streptophyta; Magnoliopsida; Poales; Poaceae.
AUGGCUCUCGUGGCGAAGCCGAGCUCCGGCGACCAGGGCGGAGACGCACCGCAUCUCGUCUUCAUCCCGAGCGCCGGCAUGGGCCACCUGCUCCCCUUCUCCCGCUUCAUCGCCGCCCUCGCGAGCCAAGGCAACGUCGACAUCUCCGUCGUGACCGCGCUGCUGAUGGUCUCGCAGGCCGAGGCCGAGCACUUCGCCGCCCUCUUCGCCGCCUUCCCCGCCAUCCGGCGCAUCGACUUCAACCUCCUGCCGCUCGACGAUGCCACCCUCGCCGGCACGGACCCCUUCGUCCUGCGGUGGGAGUCCCUGCGCCGCUCCGCCCAUCUCCUCGGCCCGCUCAUCGCCGGCGCCACGCCACGCGCCUCGGCCGUCGUCACCGACGUCACUCUGGCUUCCCAGGUCAUCCCCAUAGCCAAGAAGGAGCUGCAGCUCCCGUGCCACAUCCUCUUCAGCUCCUGCGCGACCAUGCUGUCCUUCCUCGCCUACUUCCCCACCUAUCUCGACGGCGCCAACGCCGACCACCUCGUCGGCGACGUCGACAUCCCCGGCAUUGGACGCAUCCCGGUCGAUUACCCCCCGAACGUGCUGCGCAACCCCGACAGCCUCUUUACCAAGCAGUUCAUCGCCAACGGCCGCGAGAUCGCCGAGGCAGACGGCAUUCUCCUCAACACGUUUGACGCCUUAGAGCGAGAGGCACUCGCCUCCCUGCGCGACGGCAAGGUCGUUCCCGGGUUCCCUCCGGUGUUCGCAGUCGGCCCGCUUAAGUCGACGAGCACAGAGAAGGAGGCGGUACAUGGCGGCGCCUCUUCAUCCAUCGCCUGGCUCGACGAGCAGCCGGCGCGCUCGGUUGUGUACGUGGCCUUCGGCAACCGCAACGCCGCCGCGCUGGAGCAGAUCCACGAGAUCGGUGCCGGGCUGGAGGCGAGUGGCUGCCGGUUCCUGUGGGUGGUGAAGACGACGGUGGUGGACCGUGAGGACACGGCGGAGCUCAACAACGUGCUGGACGACGGGUUCCUGGUGUUCAUGGUGAACGGGAGCGACAUCGACCCGGAGAACAUCAUCGCCGUCACACUCGAUGAUCUGUCUGAAGAUGAUCGGCGCGAGCUUGAACAAGAGCUUAAGAAAGAGAUGGCCGAGCGACUAAAAUUAAAGUUGACUGGAUACUGCAAGACAAGGAUCGGCGUCGUCAAGAAGGAGUGGGUGGACCAGGAGGCGGUCCUGAGGCACCCGGCCGUGGGGCUGUACGUGAGCCACUGCGGGUGGAACUCGGUGACGGAGUCGGCCGCGUGCGGCGUGCCGAUGCUGGCAUGGAUGAUGACGCUGGGCGACCAGCGCCUGGUGGCAACGGUGAUCAGGAGCGCCGGCUUCGGGCUGUGGCUGGAGCACUGGAGCUGGGACAGCAAGAGCUCGCUGGUGCGCGUGGCGGAGAUAGCGGAGAAGGUGAAGGCGGUGAUGGGCGACGAGGCGAUCUCGGCGAGGGCUAAGGAGGUCGGCCGGGAGGCGACCAAGGCCGUUGCCCCGGGCGGCUCCAGCCACCGGAGCAUGCAGGAAUUCCUUGCCGCGCUCAGGUGA